AGAUAAGCCGUUUGAACUCGUUCUAGAAGCUAUUGAUAAUGCAACUUUUCACUUUUCAUUUAAAGUGGAAAUUUGUUUAUUCAUUUGUGUCAGGAUUUCCUGUAGAAAUUGCUGUUACGUCGUGGCUUAUUCGCUAGCAUACGUGCAAGCAACGUAGUGCGUAAUUUUUUAGCGCUUUAGAUAAGCGGCGAGAUCUUUUGAAUUUACCGCCGACGCAAGUUUAUCGCACGAAGUGUCUUUUAAACUUUUUUGUUCAAUUCGCUGCCUCAAAGUCUGUGUCGCGAAUGUGUCGCAAUGCAUUCACUGAUUACAUUUUCCCUUCAAUAUUUUAUCAACAGUUCAUACAAACAUAUAUUGGUGUGAUCCACAGAGCAAUUAAUCGGCGGUUUAACAUUUCCUGCUUAAGAUGUACCACUAUCAUAUGUCAGAGAGCUUCCAAAAUUGUCGAGGUCUUACCGACCUGGUCGGGGCAUAGACUUCUUGAAUUCUUCAUGCAACAUCUACGGCGGCGAUGUGGAACUUAUCAGAGAAUUUUGCCGCCGCAGCCGAGUUUUUAAAUGUGCGUCUACCACACGGUACGGCCCUAGUUCGCCCCUAAAUGGGUAUGCAGCUAUAAUCUCCGAAUCGUUAAUGAAAAAUUUCUGCUGCUUCGAAUGGAAGACCACGGUUCAUACUACCGCCAUGGAAGUCAUGCGAUAAAAGGCGAAGGUAAGAAAAGCAAUACAAAAUCUGUGUUGGAUUUGAGAAAGGAUUGUGACUUUUUAAGAUAUCGAAAAUCCCGGGAUUCUUGCAAGUAAUCCCGGGAUUUUCGGGAUUUGUAAUUUGCACUGAUGGCUAUAAUAGAAACUGCUUUUCUUGUCCAGUAUUGGCUAUGUUUCUUUAUUUAUUUAAUAAUUAAUAUUUUUUAUAAAUUUCUAGCUCAUAUAUAACGU
Molecule: RNA transcript, 932 nt
Organism: Rhagoletis zephyria (snowberry fruit fly)
Lineage: Eukaryota; Metazoa; Arthropoda; Insecta; Diptera; Tephritidae
Source: RefSeq, a predicted model, not a curated record